AGCAGCCGCGGUAAUUCCAGCUCCAAUAGCGUAUAUUAAAGUUGUUGCAGUUAAAAAGCUCGUAGUUGAAUUUCGGGAUCAGUAUGUUGGUCGUGCUUCGGUACGUACUGUCAUUACUGGUUUCUACCUUCUGAAGAACCUUGAUGUCAUUAAUUUGGUGUCUUGGGGAAUCAGGACUGUUACUUUGAAAAAAUUAGAGUGUUUAAAGCAGGCAUACGCUUGAAUACAUUAGCAUGGAAUAAUGAAAUAGGACGUUUGAUUCUAUUUUGUUGGUUUCUAGGAUCGACGUAAUGAUUAAUAGGGAUAGUUGGGGGCAUUAGUAUUCAAUUGUCAGAGGUGAAAUUCUUGGAUUUAUUGAAGACUAACUACUGCGAAAGCAUUUGCCAAGGAUGUUUUCAUUAAUCAAGAACGAAAGUUAGGGGAUCGAAGACGAUCAGAUACCGUCGUAGUCUUAACCAUAAACU
This 464-nucleotide ribosomal RNA is filed under the name uncultured Glomus. RNAcentral describes it as "SSU rRNA". It matches the Rfam family "Eukaryotic small subunit ribosomal RNA", at positions 569 to 1038 of the family's 1831-position model. The record is from RNAcentral. Lineage: Eukaryota; Fungi; Glomeromycota; Glomeromycetes; Glomerales; Glomeraceae.